ACGCUCGACACCUACGGGAAGCAGCAGUCGGGAAUAUUGCGCAAUGGAGGAAACUCUGACGCAGUGACGCCGCGUGCAGGAAGAAGGUUUUCGGAUUGUAAACUGCUUUAGACAGGGAAGAAAAAGGACAGUACCUGUAGAAUAAGCUCCGGCUAACUACGUGCAGCAGCCGCGGUAAUCUGAGCGGGCUGGCAAGGC
This 198-nucleotide ribosomal RNA is filed under the name uncultured bacterium. RNAcentral's name for it is "partial 16S ribosomal RNA". It matches the Rfam family "Bacterial small subunit ribosomal RNA", at positions 326 to 539 of the family's 1533-position model. The record is from RNAcentral.